RNAcentral lists this long non-coding RNA (493 nucleotides) under Bos mutus (wild yak). Its description in RNAcentral is "lncRNA (ENSBMUG00000011589.1)". The record is from RNAcentral. Lineage: Eukaryota; Metazoa; Chordata; Mammalia; Artiodactyla; Bovidae.
AAGGCGGAUAAAUCCCACUGCCGUCUUUCUCUGAUGCGUGAGUGUUAAUCUUUCAGUUGUGUCCAACUCUUUGCGACCCCACAGACUGUAGCUGACAGGCUCCUGUGUCCAUGGAAUUCUCCAGGUAAGAAUAUUGCAGUGAGUAGUCAUUCCCUUCUCCAGGGGAUUUUCCCAAACCAGGGGUCAAACCCAGGUUUCCUGCAGCAUUCUUAUUUUUUUUUUUAGUAUCAUACCACUCUAGGCUCCAUGGGGUAUACCCAUCAAUGCAUAGGGAAGAGAUGACUUUUUUUUUUUUUUUUUACAGUUGCCCUCUGCAGAGUCAUCUUCUGGAAGAAAACCCCAAUUGCCAAGGAUAAACAUAUUUUUGAUCGUCUUCCUUUUUUUAAACUGAAAGAAGAUAAUGAAUAUGAAAGUCUCUAUGAGACUGCUGCUGCUGCUGCUAAGUCACUUCAGUCGUGUCUGACUCUGUGUGACCCCAUAGACGGCAGCCCAC